Molecule: ribosomal RNA, 857 nt
Filed under: uncultured soil bacterium
Lineage: Bacteria
Description: bacterial SSU rRNA
Rfam family: Bacterial small subunit ribosomal RNA
Source: RNAcentral
CAUGGCGCGUGCAUAGGCAUGCAAGUCGAGCGAGAACCGUAGCAAUACGGGGACAGCGGCGAAAGGGAGAGUAACGCGUGGAUACCUACCCCCGGGACUGGGAUAGCCGCGGGAAACUGCGGGUAAUACCGGAUAACGUCUCCGGACCAAAGGUGUGACUCCGCCCGAGGAGGGGUCCGCGUCCUAUUAGCUAGUUGGUGAGGUAAUGGCCCACCAAGGCAAAGAUGGGUACGGGGUGUGAGAGCAUGCCCCCGCUCACUGGGACUGAGACACUGCCCAGACACCUACGGGUGGCUGCAGUCGAGGAUCUUCGGCAAUGGGCGCAAGCCUGACCGAGCGACGCCGCGUGCGGGAUGAAGGCCUUCGGGUUGUAAACCGCUGUCAGAGGGGAGGAAAUGCUGUGGGGUUCUCCCCACGGUUUGACCUAGCCUCAGAGGAAGGACGGGCUAAGUUCGUGCCAGCAGCCGCGGUAAGACGAACCGUCCAAACGUUAUUCGGAAUCACUGGGCUUAAAGGGUGCGUAGGCGGCCCGGAAAGUUGGGUGUGAAAGCCCUCGGCUCAACCGAGGAAUUGCGCCCAAAACUGCCGGGCUUGAGGGAGAUAGAAGUGAGCGGAACUUAGGGUGGAGCGGUGAAAUACGUUGAUAUCCUAAGGAACACCAGUAGCGUAAGCGGCUCACUAGGUCUCUUCUGACGCUGAGGCACGAAAGCUAGGGGAGCGAACGGGAUUAGAUACCCCGGUAGUCCUAGCCCUAAACUAUGAGCACUGGGGUUUUGGGAGGGCCCUCCAUAGCCCUCCAGACGUAGCGAAAGUGUUAAGUGCUCCGCCCUGGGGGAGUAUGGUCGCAAGGCUGAAAC